RNAcentral lists this ribosomal RNA (226 nucleotides) under uncultured bacterium. RNAcentral's name for it is "partial 16S ribosomal RNA". It matches the Rfam family "Bacterial small subunit ribosomal RNA", at positions 538 to 763 of the family's 1533-position model. The record is from RNAcentral.
GCGUUGUUCGGAAUUACUGGGCGUAAAGCGCACGUAGGCGGCUUUGUAAGUUAGAGGUGAAAGCCCGGGGCUCAACUCCGGAACUGCCUUUAAGACUGCAUCGCUUGAAUCCAGGAGAGGUGAGUGGAAUUCCGAGUGUAGAGGUGAAAUUCGUAGAUAUUCGGAAGAACACCAGUGGCGAAGGCGGCUCACUGGACUGGUAUUGACGCUGAGGUGCGAAAGCGUG